CCUACGGGGGGCUGCAGUGGGGAAUAUUGGACAAUGGGCGCAAGCCUGAUCCAGCAAUGCCGCGUGUGUGAAGAAGGCCUGCGGGUUGUAAAGCACUUUAAGCAGGAAAGAAGGCUUCGGAGCUAAUAUCUUCGAAGAUUGACGUUACCUGCAGAAUAAGCACCGGCUAACUCCGUGCCAGCAGCCGCGGUAAUACGGAGGGUGCGAGCGUUAAUCGGAAUUACUGGGCGGAUAUCCUAAGUAGGCGGUUAAAGCCCUGGGCUUAACCUGGGAACUGCAGUGGAUACUGGCAGGCUAGAGUAUGGUAGAGGAGAGUGGAAUUUCCGGUGUAGCAGUGAAAUGCGUAGAGAUCGGAAGGAACACCAGUGGCGAAGGCGGCUCUCUGGACCAAUACUGACGCUGAGGUGCGAAAGCGUGGGGAGCAAACAGGAUUAGAUACCCGGGUAGUC
RNAcentral lists this ribosomal RNA (449 nucleotides) under uncultured bacterium. RNAcentral describes it as "partial 16S ribosomal RNA". It matches the Rfam family "Bacterial small subunit ribosomal RNA", at positions 338 to 795 of the family's 1533-position model. The record is from RNAcentral.